This 84-nucleotide transfer RNA is filed under the name Loxodonta africana (African savanna elephant). It matches the Rfam family "tRNA". From Rfam's summary of the family: Transfer RNA (tRNA) molecules are approximately 80 nucleotides in length. Lineage: Eukaryota; Metazoa; Chordata; Mammalia; Proboscidea; Elephantidae. The record is from Rfam by way of RNAcentral.
UCAGGGGUGGUUCAGUGGUAGAAUUCUUGCCUUCUAUGAUUUUUUUUUAUGCAGGAGACCUGGGUUCGAUUCCCACCCCACGCA